Non-coding RNA from Megalopta genalis, 834 nucleotides. Lineage: Eukaryota; Metazoa; Arthropoda; Insecta; Hymenoptera; Halictidae. The record is from RefSeq and is a predicted model, not a curated record.
AUGUGAAUGUUGACAUUCACCGGUGAAAGUCGACAUUCUCCAGAUUUCGGUGUUUCACUGUAACAUAUACACGUCUAAUAACAAGAUAUAGACUAAAAGCGAAUGCUUUCUUUCAUUUCUUCAAUGAUACUCAUUCUACGAAAAUUUUGUCUUCUGCUAACAUUUUUGAAAAAAUUUAUUUCUAUUACGAAAAUAGACUGAAAGUUAUAUUAGAAGUUAUAUCUAGUAGAUACCUCAUAAAUAUUAAUAAAUUCAAGAUUUAUACUAUGGAUGCGGCAAAACUGUACGUUCAGUUAUAUAGCUGAUAUCCAUUGACGCCAACACUCCAUAAUCUUAUACAUGGGCCAAUAGUGAUCGAAAAUGCUUUAAUGUCAAUCGGUCAUUUAUCAGAGGAGGCAGCAGAAAAAUAUCGAUUGCAGCAUGAAGAAAAUGUAGUAGACAAGCUUUUAGGCUGAUAUCUUCUCUAAGAAAACCAGUAAUUAAAAAAUCGAGCUCUUAUACUGAGGAGAGUUUGGAGAUGUUUCUUCAGGAAGAAGAAGAAGAAGGACAAGAAAACGAUAAAAAUGAGGAAGAUGAAGAAGAAAUGGUUCAGGGAUCAUCAAGUUCCAAAAAAGUUCCAAAUGUGUAUUUACAUGAGUUAUUAAAAAUCGAAACGCACUAAAGGCUAGUGGAGGAGUAGCUAUAUCAGUAAACAACUCACUGUUUGGCGAAGAAAUCCAUAUUAACUCAAACAUGGAGGUAACUAUGAUUAAAAUACAUUCUUCUGCGAAAUUACAUGUUUGUCAUAUAUAUUUACCUAAUAGCUACCACCUAAAUAAAACCGAACUAAAUAAU